ACGCUGGCGGCAGGCCUAACACAUGCAAGUCGAGCGGUAGAGAGAAGCUUGCUUCUCUUGAGAGCGGCGGACGGGUGAGUAAUGCCUAGGAAUCUGCCUGGUAGUGGGGGAUAACGUUCGGAAACGGACGCUAAUACCGCAUACGUCCUACGGGAGAAAGCAGGGGACCUUCGGGCCUUGCGCUAUUAGAUGAGCCUAGGUCGGAUUAGCUAGUUGGUGAGGUAAUGGCUCACCAAGGCGACGAUCCGUAACUGGUCUGAGAGGAUGAUCAGUCACACUGGAACUGAGACACGGUCCAGACUCCUACGGGAGGCAGCAGUGGGGAAUAUUGGACAAUGGGCGAAAGCCUGAUCCAGCCAUGCCGCGUGUGUGAAGAAGGUCUUCGGAUUGUAAAGCACUUUAAGUUGGGAGGAAGGGCAGUUACCUAAUACGUGAUUGUUUUGACGUUACCGACAGAAUAAGCACCGGCUAACUCUGUGCCAGCAGCCGCGGUAAUACAGAGGGUGCAAGCGUUAAUCGGAAUUACUGGGCGUAAAGCGCGCGUAGGUGGUUUGUUAAGUUGGAUGUGAAAUCCCCGGGCUCAACCUGGGAACUGCAUUCAAAACUGACUGACUAGAGUAUGGUAGAGGGUGGUGGAAUUUCCUGUGUAGCGGUGAAAUGCGUAGAUAUAGGAAGGAACACCAGUGGCGAAGGCGACCACCUGGACUGAUACUGACACUGAGGUGCGAAAGCGUGGGGAGCAAAC
This 745-nucleotide ribosomal RNA is filed under the name uncultured bacterium. Its description in RNAcentral is "bacterial SSU rRNA". It matches the Rfam family "Bacterial small subunit ribosomal RNA", at positions 33 to 773 of the family's 1533-position model. The record is from RNAcentral.